Molecule: ribosomal RNA, 119 nt
Filed under: Pteropus alecto (black flying fox)
Lineage: Eukaryota; Metazoa; Chordata; Mammalia; Chiroptera; Pteropodidae
Source: RNAcentral
GUCUACGGCCAUGUCAUCCCAAACAAGCCCGAUCCCUUCUGAUCUGGGAAGCUAAGCAGGGUCGGGCCUGGUUAGUACUUCAAUGGGAGACCAGCUAGGAAGACCAGGCGCUGGAGGCU